This is a long non-coding RNA of Alligator mississippiensis (American alligator), 5874 nucleotides long. RefSeq lists it as uncharacterized. NCBI's taxonomy places the organism in Eukaryota, Metazoa, Chordata, Crocodylia, Alligatoridae. The record is from RefSeq and is a predicted model, not a curated record. The transcript is spliced from 2 exons.
GGGGGGGGGGGGGGGUGUUUACACUAAGGUGUAACCUAGCGUGGCUGAACCUUAAUGUAACACAUGCAGGGAAAUAGGGGUCAGAGAUAAUCCUGCCCUGGAAUGGCGUAACUUUGAGCUGCAUAACAACUACUUGAAACUAGUUUGGGGUGUUAAUGUGCAGGCAGUCUAGGUUUAAGAGUUCCAGGAGCUGCCCAAAAUUACCUUGUAACAAGGCCCCUAUUUCCUGUUUGUUAUCAAACACUUUUGAAGAACCGGUAUUUAAAGUUUACCCCAGAGUUGGUCUCGCAUUUUAUGCUUUCAUCCUUUGGCCAAACAUCUGGCCAGAACCUUUGGAGGAAAAGAGCUAUUCUGAGGAGUUUACCAAGGAUCUGAAAAAGGGGUCUAGUAAUGGAGAGCUGGUAACAGUCUAAGCCCCAGGGAAGCUAACAUCUUCUCCUUAGAAACCCCAGUUCUACUGCAUGUGCAGUGAUUUGGACUUUAGACCAUGAAAGUCCUGCCUGAUUCAUUUCACCUAAUGUUCAGUACCCUGAUAACGUACGACCACUAUGGAGCUGGAAGAUGUAGAAACGCAGGGCUCUGAUCCAUAAUGUACUGCUGGCCGUUGAAUAUUAUUACAUAAGCCAUGGCCCAAAGCCCCAUUGCAGCAGUGUUCCUCCAAAAAAAUUAAGUGUUUUACUGUUCCAGCAAGGCUUCUUGACUGGGAUUUGGGGGAAGGAAUGUGGUGCUUUAUUUCACUUCUAGGGGUCAUGUUGCUUGUUUUUGCCAUAUGCCUCUGAGCUGCGUAUGUUUGCCAGAUUUGGCAUGGAUGGUUUGGCAUCAAAGAAUUCAGCUUUGGAGCUCUGCCGAGUUUAGAGCAGUGAUUCUCAACCUGGGUACUGGAGCGCCCUAGGAUCUGGCAUUAAAACUAAGAAGACUGACUCUGACAUUAAAACUAAGAUCUGGCAUUUUCUGCGGAGUGCCUUGAGUCUACACACUGGUUUAGGGCAUCAGUCUAGGGCAGUGGUUCUCAACCUUUUCUGUACCAGGACCCAUUUAUAAACAUUGAUAGCCAGUCCUGAUCCAGUGCCUCUUACUCUCGACCCACUACCCCCAGGCCCCCAGUAUGUGGGGCAGGGGUAGGUGUGUGGGGCAUGGGGAGUGCCAAGCCGCCCAUUGCAGGCUGGAACUCUGCUAGCCUGCAAGGGAAAAGCCCCAGUUGAAGGGCUCUCCUUCAAUUUACCAGAGCAGAAAGUUGUGCUUUUUCUGAUGUUAUGGAAUUGCCUGUGGUGUAGCUGUAGGUGUCUGAUUUGCAUGAUCUCUGUGGUGCUCUUCCUUAAUGGUCCGAGAGGGACUAUGCAAAUCCCUCCACUCCCAACUGGCUACUAUAAUCCCUUUGCUGUGACUCAUGUCUUGCAUUCAGAAUCCUCAAGCUGUUUGACAGGCACGGAGAUGUUACCUCAGCUCCCUUCAGCUCCAGCAGAAAAACAUGGAAAUGUGCAAGAAGUGCACCAUGCUAAAAGGAAUAUAGGGCCAGGAAGCUGGAGAAAGAAAAACUUUUUUAACAAAAUCUCUUUCUCUUCCUCUCUUCUACUUCCUUCCAGGUGGCAGCAGGGCUCUUGGCCCUGGAAGAGCUAGCACAGUAGUUCUCAACCAUGCCACCAUGGGGUACCUUGAGAUCUUUUCAAGAGUACUGUGGGGUGCCAAGCAAUGUUAGUACUGUCAGGUGUGCAAACAUGAUUCAUAGUAUAAACCCAGAGAUUAGGAAUCCUUAGUGUUAAACUAUUUUGAUGUGUUGUGGACUUCCUGAAUUCUUUGUCAGAAGAAAAUUGCUCUAUUAUUUUUCUGUAGUCAAAAAACAAAUGAAAACUAAGAUGUGACAUUUUCUGAGGGGUGUCUUGAGUUUGAAAAGGUGGAGAAUCACUUAUAUAUAUAUAUAUAAAUUACUGGGAAAAUCCCAGAUACUUUCUUUUAAGUUAGUUUUGAAGAAUGGUAUGAAUACUAUGUUGAAGCUCUUCUGGGGGGGGACAGUACUGGGAUCUUUACAGGUAAGUUGAGAGGGAGCAGAAUGGAAGAGGUAGAAGGUAGAUUGGGGACAAAGGCCAUGCUGUCACUCCCCAACCAUCCAGAUGAAUGUGUAAGACACUGAGCAACUAGCUCAUAGUGUGUUUCUAACUCUGCUAGUUAAUGAUUAAUUUGCGCCAUGGAUUAUGAGGACUUCACAGGUGAAAUCAGGGGUCUAUUGCAAAAUCCUCCCUGGCUUCAUAGAAACAGAGUUUGACCUUUGGUCUCUAGGCAUUCGUGAACAAACAAGCAUAAUUGGAGUGUUUGCUAUUCCAUGUAAGAGUUGCAUUCUUUUUUUGAAUCUCUCUAAGCUUUUGGUUCCUUCCAGAUCUUGGAUUUCUGAGCGCUAAUUAUGCAUUGCGUGAAAGUUGUCUUUUGGGUGGUUUCAAGCACAUCAGUUUUCAGUGCAGCUGAACAAUCCUCUUGUUCCUUUAACUGAGUGUGUUCAAUUCUGUAUCCUGUCUUCUGUAUUCCCCUCCCUCUUCCCCCCUCUUAUUUGUUUCAUCUACAAACUAAAUUUGUUCAGCUCCUGAUAUGGGAGUCUGUCUGAUAAGCUUCUAAUAAUUUUGUCUUUUGUCUCUAUGGCUCUCUUGUAGCCCUGUGAGAUAUAUCUUUGCAGGGGUGGAAGUUGGGAUUGGAGGAAAAUUAAACACGGUCCUUAAGCCAGGUGACUUAGACAAGUGCGAGGAGGGCUUUUCAGUCCUGUUACACUUUCUUUACAAUCAGCUUGACAGCCCCUUUUGUUUUCUUGUUUUGUAGUUUUCUUUUUCUUUAUUUGAAGCGUUUAGUGUCACUUGAGAGUGCUUCCCUUCUUGAUGAGUCGAGCAACCAUUUUCUGAAUAAAUAAACUCUAACCUGUAGUUUAAUUCAGUCCUAGAUAUUGCGAUUUUUUUUUUUUUUAAGCACCCCUCCUCCCAUAUUGCGAUUUUGAAUCUAGUAAGGCUAAUUAAAUCUUACGGAAUUGAGUUACAGACAGGCUGGCCCAUUUUCUUCUGCAUGCUGUAAAGUUUGGAAGCAAUUGUGGAAAAAGUUGCUUAAAAUGGCCAACCGACUUCCAUCGUGUGAGGAUUUUUUUUGCCUAUGGGUGGCUGCUUCAACAAAGCAUUAUUAAUGCACAGCUUCAGGGGAUGUGCAAAAAACAACCCAAGCCAUAAACAUUACAAUCACUGAAAGCUUUUCUAAUGUUUGAAGCAUUAGCAGAGAGAGCAACGUGGCUGUUAUCUUUGGCAAACUCCCUCCUUUUGUGAGUGUCUAUAGACAAUUAAGAGAAAUGGCAGCCUUCUACCUCUGUGUUUGCUGUCUCUGUACAUAUGCUAAAGCAAUAGAGGAAAACACCCUCCCCCCACCACUAAAUAUCAGCACACAGAUGUCUGAAAGGUGUUUCACCAUGUACAGAGAAAAGGUUUUUAAUACAGUGUCUUAUGUACAAACAGAAGUAACAAUACAAUUCCCAAAGCAGAGAAAACUUGCUCUGAAUAUCAUAAUGAGAUUGCUAACCAUAGGAUGGAUUUUGCUGCAAGUGAGAUGGGAGUCCUGUUGCCUUUGACUCUUAAAGCUAGGUUGGAGAAAGCCCUGUAUUAUAAAGAACAGUUCUGCAUUGACCCAAGGGAAAUGGAUUGGAUGAUCUAAUAAGUGCUUUCAUUUCUAACUUCUCUAAUUCACAGAAUGUUAAGAGUCUGCCUUAUUUGCACUCUGAUCAUGCAGACAUAGUACCAGGGGGUGUGUUAUGUCACAGAUCGUAUUAUCAGUACAGCACCAUUGCCCUCAGUUACUGUGUUUCUAAACACUAUGUUGCCCAUUACAUGAGUAAUUGCCACUUAUUUUAUGCAUAAAUAUUCAAAUUCCCAUGAAACAGUCUGUUUUUAAGCAUCAGUCAUAUAUAAACUAAAUGCUUGCCACAUCCCUGAAGAGAAUGCUGCUUCUGUGUCAAAACUAAUAUCAUGCCGUCUCCUACGUAGGUAACAGCCAGCCAGUGUCACUCUUGGAGCACAGGUAUUAUGUGUUCUUAGCAUAAUGCGAACAUCUAUUUACAGCUUCUGAAAUGUCCACAAUGCAGUGCAUGUCAGUCCCUUCAGUUUGGAGGUGUUGAAGACGUGGAAAACCCUAGAAAUGUCCACAUUCAAAAGAAACAACCUCUCGCACCUCACCCAAUGUGUGUUAGUGAGGCAGAAAACUAGUAUUGCCAACUUUCAGCAUUUAGCAAUCUAGAUUUAGACCCAAAAUAUAUUUAUAAUUUCUGUCUCCUUUCUCUGUGUUCCAAUUUGUGAAAGCUGAGGAUGUACUUCAGUUACAAUUGUAAGCUUUUAUGUGCACCCACAGAAACUAGCAGCUGAGAACUGCAAGAGCUAUAAUGAAAGUUGAGAAUCUCAUGUAAAUCACCUGACUCCAAGGCCGGGGCCUUUAAGGAACAUACUAGGCUUGCAGUGCCUAGGGGGAUAGUUUGCACAGGUACCAUCAACAUCUCCCUGAGCAGCCUGGGAUUGGAAAACACCUUGCAGGGGUGAUGGCAGAGGGCAGAAGGAUCCUCUCUACUAACUCUGCAAAUCAUUUACCUGCAGUUCUGCUUGGUCCCUUCCCCAAGUCCCCACUUUGCAGACAAGUAUGAGCUUAGGCAGGCUUAUUUAGAUCAGUGGUUCUUAACCUUUUUGGACUCAAGGCACUUGUUGCUAGACUCAAGGCACCCCUCCGUAACUUUUGGGAAUUGAGCAGCACCUCAUUUCAACAACUAACUUCUUGCAGUGUUUGCCUCCUUGCAGAGGUAAGCACUGCACAGUGAGGGCAAGAGAGUGGCCAUGCAGGGAGGGGCCUGAGCCUGUGAUUUAUCUCCUUAUCUUCUCACACCUUGCUUAUAUCAUCAUACUUCAUGGCAGCCUUCAAAGGAUCCGGUGUCACCCUGCUUGAGAAUCACUGAUUUAUAUGGUGCCCUGUUUAGCUAGACCUUGCUCAGACCACAGGAUCUGUAACUUGUUUAAUGCUAUCUCUGCCUGGUCAUGGGAUCCCUCCCAGGCUUUCCUGAUUUACACAGGAUUUGCAUCUCCUUAGGAAAAAAAAGCCUGAUAUAGAAGGCUUCUUGGAGGCCACAAUGCCCAGUUGCUACAGGGAGGUUCUCAGAGCCAUGGAGCAGAAGGCAGAAGCUGGACUGACAGCCCUAGUGAGAGCUGUUCUCACCACCUUGGAAACUGGGGAAUGGUCAAGGAUGAGAAGAAAGUUUCCUUCUUUUUCGGGACUAAAAUGUAUGCGUGUAAAUUGGGAAACCUCUCACUGUCAGCACAUGGAAAGGCUGUUGCAGCUGUUGCCCUUUAUCUAGGGCAGAGCAUCUCAUUAGAAGCCUGUAGGGCAGGUGGAGGGCCCUCUCUUCUGCCUCUUCCCUGCUUGAAGGCACAGAUGUACCAGCUCUGGAACCGGUUGCACAGCCUGCUUGUAUUUUCACAUAGGACAGGCAGAAGGGAAGGAGAAGUAGGAGCAAGGAGCGUUCAACCUAUGGGGAAGAGGAGGAACUUCUUUGAGCUACUACCCUCUUUCAGCUCCAUCUUCUCCUGAAAAUGGUAUAAACGACUCCCUCCCUGCCAGCCUUGCAGAAGCUUCUCUCUCCAGCUGUAAUAGGAGGUGGGGAAAUGGACAAGCAAGAAAAAUUCCCCAGGAUAACCUCACAUGAGUGGGUAUAACUGAGAAGAAUUGCUUAUCAACCUAUGCGUGAAAUGAGCCAGAUCACCUCAGUCUAGUUCCAGGAUAAUGUAGAUGCCCACAUCAGGACGUAGGCCUUUGCCAACAAGGCAGGAUAAAAAUCAAUGACCAAACAAUAAAAAAUAAAUUUGGAUUUUAAAAUUUUAA